UACUUAAACAAAUUUACUAAUAAAUCCACCUUCCCCCGGUUUUUAAGCCUAAGAUUCGUAUUUUUACUAAAAAUUGUAGCUCACCUCUGCCUCCCCAUUAACUGCACCUUGACCUGAAGUAUAAAAAAUUAUUUUCUUGAAAACAUUCUUUUAAAGUAAUCUGACAACGGCGGUAUACAAGCUGAAUAAAAGGAGGUAAGAUAAAAUGAGGAUUAUCAAUUAUAGGGCAAGCUCCUCUAUUAGGAUAAGAUGCCGCCAAAAUCUUUGGGUUUGAAGAACAUCUUUUAC
This 288-nucleotide ribosomal RNA is filed under the name Daphnia obtusa. RNAcentral describes it as "partial 12S ribosomal RNA". The record is from RNAcentral. Lineage: Eukaryota; Metazoa; Arthropoda; Branchiopoda; Diplostraca; Daphniidae.